GUCAAAAUACUUCUCAUCCAUUUUCCUUCCAGAUCGGAGAAUCCAUUUUCCCUAAUUCUCAGCAUUCUUAAGUGACUAGAAAUGGCAUUGGGUGGAGGUGGACCACAAAGAGGGACUGCAGCAGCAGCAGCUGCUAACCUACGUCGAAGGAAGACAGGAGGAGCAGGUGGAGCUGCAGGAGGAGCAGGUGGUACCAUGCUUCAAUUCUACACUGAUGAUUCCCCCGGACUCAAGAUAUCCCCCAAUGUUGUGCUUGUGAUGAGUAUUGGCUUCAUAGCCUUUGUUGCGAUCCUUCACGUCAUGGGUAAGCUCUACUUUGUCCGCAGGGAGGGCUAGUGACCGAACCGUUGCUGAGUUGGGAAAUUUUUGUUGGACAACAUCUUUCAUCGUUUAAGGAAAAACUGACAUUGUAGCUUUAUUUUCUUGUUUGUUUGUCUAAUGCUAUGAAGUCUAUAGAAAAGUUUUCUAGUUAUGAGUCGAUUUUUUCUUGUGCUAUUCCAACACUUUCUAAUGAACAAGAAGGUGCCAAAUUCUAGUUUCUUAGACCGUGAAUGGGAUCAUGUCGCAGUUAUAGCUUUAACAGAAAUGACUUCUCCACUGCUCGCUAACAACUUUGGAA
Molecule: unclassified non-coding RNA, 619 nt
Filed under: Hevea brasiliensis (rubber tree)
Lineage: Eukaryota; Viridiplantae; Streptophyta; Magnoliopsida; Malpighiales; Euphorbiaceae
Source: RNAcentral